AUCCAUAUGAGGAGUCCCAAAUAGGACGAAAUGGACAUCGUGGAU
Molecule: non-coding RNA, 45 nt
Organism: Trichobilharzia regenti
Lineage: Eukaryota; Metazoa; Platyhelminthes; Trematoda; Strigeidida; Schistosomatidae
Source: Rfam